AAAUUGAAGAGUUUGAUCAUGGCUCAGAUUGAACGCUGGCGGCAGGCCUAACACAUGCAAGUCGAGCGGUAGCACAGAGGAGCUUGCUCCUUGGGUGACGAGCGGCGGACGGGUGAGUAAUGUCUGGGAAACUGCCUGAUGGAGGGGGAUAACUACUGGAAACGGUAGCUAAUACCGCAUAACCUCGCAAGAGCAAAGAGGGGGACCUUCGGGCCUCUCGCCAUCAGAUGUGCCCAGAUGGGAUUAGCUAGUAGGUGAGGUAAUGGCUCACCUAGGCGACGAUCCCUAGCUGGUCUGAGAGGAUGACCAGCCACACUGGAACUGAGACACGGUCCAGACUCCUACGGGAGGCAGCAGUGGGGAAUAUUGCACAAUGGGCGCAAGCCUGAUGCAGCCAUGCCGCGUGUGUGAAGAAGGCCUUCGGGUUGUAAAGCACUUUCAGCGGGGAGGAAGGCGGUAAGGUUAAUAACCUUAUCGAUUGACGUUACCCGCAGAAGAAGCACCGGCUAACUCCGUGCCAGCAGCCGCGGUAAUACGGAGGGUGCAAGCGUUAAUCGGAAUGACUGGGCGUAAAGCGCACGCAGGCGGUCUGUUAAGUUGGAUGUGAAAUCCCCGGGCUUAACCUGGGAACUGCAUUCAAAACUGACAGGCUAGAGUCUUGUAGAGGGGGGUAGAAUUCCAGGUGUAGCGGUGAAAUGCGUAGAGAUCUGGAGGAAUACCGGUGGCGAAGGCGGCCCCCUGGACAAAGACUGACGCUCAGGUGCGAAAGCGUGGGGAGCAAACAGGAUUAGAUACCCUGGUAGUCCACGCUGUAAACGAUGUCGAUUUGGAGGUUGUGCCCUUGAGGCGUGGCUUCCGGAGCUAACGCGUUAAAUCGACCGCCUGGGGAGUACGGCCGCAAGGUUAAAACUCAAAUGAAUUGACGGGGGCCCGCACAAGCGGUGGAGCAUGUGGUUUAAUUCGAUGCAACGCGAAGAACCUUACCUACUCUUGACAUCCAGAGAAUUUGCUAGAGAUAGCUUAGUGCCUUCGGGAACUCUGAGACAGGUGCUGCAUGGCUGUCGUCAGCUCGUGUUGUGAAAUGUUGGGUUAAGUCCCGCAACGAGCGCAACCCUUAUCCUUUGUUGCCAGCGAUUCGGUCGGGAACUCAAAGGAGACUGCCGGUGAUAAACCGGAGGAAGGUGGGGAUGACGUCAAGUCAUCAUGGCCCUUACGAGUAGGGCUACACACGUGCUACAAUGGCGUAUACAAAGAGAAGCGACCUCGCGAGAGCAAGCGGACCUCAUAAAGUACGUCGUAGUCCGGAUUGGAGUCUGCAACUCGACUCCAUGAAGUCGGAAUCGCUAGUAAUCGUAGAUCAGAAUGCUACGGUGAAUACGUUCCCGGGCCUUGUACACACCGCCCGUCACACCAUGGGAGUGGGUUGCAAAAGAAGUAGGUAGCUUAACCUUCGGGAGGGCGCUUACCACUUUGUGAUUCAUGACUGGGGUGAAGUCGUAACAAGGUAACCGUAGGGGAACCUGCGGUUGGAUCACCUCCUUACCAAGAAG
This 1550-nucleotide ribosomal RNA is filed under the name Pectobacterium polaris. RNAcentral describes it as "bacterial SSU rRNA". It matches the Rfam family "Bacterial small subunit ribosomal RNA". The record is from RNAcentral. Lineage: Bacteria; Pseudomonadati; Pseudomonadota; Gammaproteobacteria; Enterobacterales; Pectobacteriaceae.